Molecule: ribosomal RNA, 652 nt
Filed under: Enterobacter sp. enrichment culture clone ESN65_EN16
Lineage: Bacteria; Pseudomonadati; Pseudomonadota; Gammaproteobacteria; Enterobacterales; Enterobacteriaceae
Description: bacterial SSU rRNA
Rfam family: Bacterial small subunit ribosomal RNA
Source: RNAcentral
CGGCGGACGGGUGAGUAAUGUCUGGGAAACUGCCUGAUGGAGGGGGAUAACUACUGGAAACGGUAGCUAAUACCGCAUAACGUCGCAAGACCAAAGAGGGGGACCUUCGGGCCUCUUGCCAUCAGAUGUGCCCAGAUGGGAUUAGCUAGUAGGUGGGGUAAUGGCUCACCUAGGCGACGAUCCCUAGCUGGUCUGAGAGGAUGACCAGCCACACUGGAACUGAGACACGGUCCAGACUCCUACGGGAGGCAGCAGUGGGGAAUAUUGCACAAUGGGCGCAAGCCUGAUGCAGCCAUGCCGCGUGUAUGAAGAAGGCCUUCGGGUUGUAAAGUACUUUCAGCGAGGAGGAAGGCAUUGUGGUUAAUAACCACAGUGAUUGACGUUACUCGCAGAAGAAGCACCGGCUAACUCCGUGCCAGCAGCCGCGGUAAUACGGAGGGUGCAAGCGUUAAUCGGAAUUACUGGGCGUAAAGCGCACGCAGGCGGUCUGUCAAGUCGGAUGUGAAAUCCCCGGGCUCAACCUGGGAACUGCAUUCGAAACUGGCAGGCUAGAGUCUUGUAGAGGGGGGUAGAAUUCCAGGUGUAGCGGUGAAAUGCGUAGAGAUCUGGAGGAAUACCGGUGGCGAAGGCGGCCCCCUGGACAAAGACUGAC